AAGUCGUAACAAGGUUUCCGUAGGUGAACCUGCGGAAGGAUCAUUAUCGAGUUUUGAAACGGGUUGUAGCUGGUCUCUCCGGAGGCAUGUGCACGCCCUGCUCAUCCACUCUACACCUGUGCACUUACUGUGGGUAUUGGAAGGCGUCGCGCCGUUUCUUACGGGUGAGGCGUUAACCGUGCCUACGUUUUACUACAAACGCUUCAGUAUCAGAAUGUGUAUUGCGAUGUAACGCAUCUAUAUACAACUUUCAGCAACGGAUCUCUUGGCUCUC
This 274-nucleotide unclassified non-coding RNA is filed under the name fungal sp. RNAcentral's name for it is "partial internal transcribed spacer region". The stretch from base 1 to 46 matches the Rfam family "Eukaryotic small subunit ribosomal RNA", at positions 1786 to 1831 of the family's 1831-position model. The record is from RNAcentral. Lineage: Eukaryota; Fungi.